UUAGUAAAAAUCCUGUCUGCAUCAUUGAAUUUGGAAAUUGACUUUUCUUUCACAUCUCAUUUUCCUUUACCCUAUAUUCUGAGAAAACUUGUAUAUGUUUCUGUCGCACUUCUAACCAAUUUUCACUCAUACAUGUAAUGCCUUAAACAAACACCUUUUAUUGGUGAUAAUGAUUCUAACAUUUCCUAUUGUUAGCUUAACUUUCUUCAACACUAUUUUUACAUUUUUCGUCAAUAUUUUAACAAUUCUGCACAUUUUAUUCAUUUUACUCUCUGUAGCCAUUUAUACACUUGUGAACCAUCUAGCUAAGAACACAACAAGUUACAGCAUUACUGUCAAGCUGGUAGCUAUAUUUUCUUCAUUCUUCAACAACUUACGUGACACAUCCAUCACCCAUAUGAACUGCUGCUGUCAGUCAUUUCUAAAACAUUUUCUCUCUAAAACUUUUUCCAUUUCUCCUAAUAAUCUUACAGAGGCAUAACAGUAGAACUGUACUGCUGAACUUCUUAAUAAUCCUCAAUUUAAUGGGACACACCCACUUGGAAAAUCUACCUCCAUGAAAACUACAGCUGGACCAUAUAAUUCUUCUAAACAUUACAAUCCAAUUAGCCAUCUAACAAGUCAACUAAUAUGAGAAAAGAGCAAUAUGAAUGCCAAUUGAGAGAAAGAACUGCUAGGUUAGAUCCUUCAAAUUACUUGACCCUUUUUAAAAUUCCAAAUCGUCGUCAUUAUGAGUGUUAAUCUGCAUUUUAUGAUGCUUCAUAACGUAAUGAACACUUUAGGCAGAAAUACUUCAAUAAACACAUUCAUUGCUAUCGUACAGCCAUUGCACUUUCACCAACAACACUGUCUUAUGCCAAUAGAGUGAUCACUUAUGUUCAAAUCAAAAUGCAACUUUACUGCAUUUCAUUGUUCUUUUAAGUAACGUAAAUAACACUUCAAAAUUAGAAGCUGUCUUACCUCUUUGUAUGCGCCUGUAUCUACGUCUGACGAAGUACAGAACGACUGCAACAAGCCUUGAAUCUGAAUCUCCGCUACAUUAAACGUUAUUCUCCGCAUUCAACUACUACCAAACAACUUGGGAAAUUCAAAGAAUCAAUUGAAGGUAUACUUAAUCUUCAAAUGUUACCAUAUGUACAACUGUUAUAUUCAGCUUUCCUGUCUGCUGCACAUGUAGCAAUACAGAUGACAUUUAACAGAGAUUUUCAUUCUGUAAAGACUGCCUGAGAUUUAGCACAGAUGUUUUUCAUCAAGAUCUCCAUCAGCACCAAAACCUUUAAUGUUUACUUAUACAAUAUCAUUAUCCUCCACUUCCAAAGCUUGUACCAUUUUUCCGAUCACUCACAUAUUCAUGGCACCAUUUGUAGCAACUUCUUCCUCCUGAAUUGAUACUCUACUUUCCCACUCUUUCAACUUUUCCAAAUACAACUUCAAUUUUGCCUCAACUUUAGCUUUUUCAUUUUUUAACUCCUCAUUUUUCUUCUGCAUAUCCUUUAAUGAAUUCUCCAUUGGUUAAAGGAUCUGCAAAAGAAAAAUGAGAAGCUAAAAAAUGAAGAAGCUAAAGUUCGCGCAAAACUUAAGAUAUAUUUGAAAAAAUUCAAAGAGUGGGAAAGUAGAGUAUCAAUUCAGCAGGAAGAAGCUGCUAGAAAUUGUACAACAAAAUACUAAAGCUUUUGUUGCUCAUGGAGAUCUUCAACAAAACCAAUUGUCACCACCUAGGUCUCCAUUAGUUCACUCAACUGCAAAUGGAAAUGCAACUGGAAGUGAUAAAUGAACACAUGAAGGUAUUAUUAUGCUUAUAUCUGUCUUGUAGACCUUUGCUUUUGAGUUAUGCACUCAAUUUUUGUAUGCUUUUCAACUUUGGUUAGGAACUUACAAUUAUUCAGUGAUGCUUUUUGUGGUAUCGUUAAGCUGCCAUAAUGAUAUUGCACAACAAAAUAGUAAAGCUUUUGCUGCUCAUGAAGAUCUUCAACAAAACCAAGUGUCACCACAUAUGCCUCCAUUAGUUCACUCAACUGCAAAUGGAAAUGCAAAUGGAAGUGAUAAAUGAACACAUGAAGGUAUUAUUAUGCUUAUAUCUAUCUUGUUGACCUUUGGUUUUGAGUUAUCCACUCAAUUUCUGUAUGGUUUUCAACUUUGGUUAGGAACUUACAAUUAUUCAGUGAUGCUUUUUGUGCUAUCGUUAAGCUUUAGUUAUGUAGCCAUGUAUCUUCUAAUAUUUGCUUACCUUUGGACCUAAACCUAACUCCUAACUAUUUAUAUGGAACUGCAAAUGUGCUACACACUGACUAUAACUGCAGGCAGAGGUAACACGGACUUCAUUUAUACAAAAAUGAAUCGGGUUAAUUGUCCUGAUGUUUGGACAUUACAUCCCAUGCCUUAUGCUGGUACUUCUGCUUCACUCAAUACCAAUGUUUCCAACAUACAAAAGAAAAGCCGCCAUUCAGAGCUACCAGGUACAGAUAAUUUAUCACGCUUAUUCUUACAUUUCCUUUGUUACCUCUCACAUUCAACCCACAUCUGAAGUUAGCACUAAUGAUUUACUCAAUUUCUAAAUGUUUUUACAUCCAUUGUUCAACAUAUAUUGCAAAUGAAGAAAAUCUAAAUUAUAUUUUUUUUGUUAUACCAAUAGAGCAGUAGUAAUCUGUCUGUCGUUGUCAACUUACUAUUUCGGCUACCAUAUUAACCACAUGACACAGGAUUUGAUGUGUCUGUCUGUCUAUGUAUAUAUAUAUAUACAUAUAUUAUCUAUAUAUAGAUACAUAUAUUAUCUAUAUAUAUAGAGAGAGAGAGAAAGAGAGAAAGAGAAAGAGAGAGAGUAUAUAUAUAUACAUACAUAUAUAAACAAAUAGAUAAAUACAGAAAUUCUUUUUAUCCUUAUUUAGAAACAACAAUUAAAGUACAACUGUCUUCAUACAAAUUCAUCAAGUUUGGUUUGCCACUGAAAUUACUUCCUCCUAUUCAUUUUUCCUUCCUUACGUUUUCUUUUGAUUCUUAGCUUCCCUAUCACAAACUGUAUGUUAUUUUUCUAUAUAUGCAUGUUUCAGAAUGUAAAUAAAUAUGUGUAUAACUUUGCUGUGUAGAGUGCAUCUGUCACCAUUUUUGCCAAUUGUGCACCAGUACUGAAAUGGCCAAUAAUACCAGCCACAACUCUCACUGCAAAUAUACUAACAUCAAAAUUCGUGAGUUUCCUGUCUUUCUUUUGUACUCAAUAUAUGUAAUUAUAUGAAUGAUCUUUAGUCUUUCUCAUAAUGCUGCAAUUUCUGGUUUUUCUCCUUUAAACAUUCCAACUUCCCUUUUUUCCUUCAUAUGUGGUUCAAAAUUUGGUACCACUUUUCAACUACUCUCUCUUAAUUUGUUUGUUUCUCAAAUUUGCUGAGUUUUCCUGAUUAUAUUGUUUUAUACUUUCUAUAACCUUAGUGAAAAUCCUGUCUCCAUCAUUGAAUUUGAAAUUUGACUUUUCUUUCACAUCUCAUUUUCCUUUACCCUAUGUUCUGAGACAACUUAUAUAUGUUUCUGUCACACUUCUAACCAAUUUUCACUCAUACAUGUAAUGCCUUAAACAAACACCUUUUAUUGGUGAUAAUGAUUCUAACAUUUGCUUUUGUUAAGUUAACUUUCUUCAACACUAUUUUUACAUUUAUCGUCAAUAUUUGAACAAUUCUGCACAUUUUAUUCAUUUUACUGUCUGUAGCCAUUUAUACAUUUCGGAACCAUGUAUCUAAGAACACAACAAGUUUUGACAUUACUGUCAACCUGGUACCUAUAUUUUCUUCAUUCUUCAACAACUUACAUCACCCAUACAUCACCAAUGUCAACUGCUGCUGUCAGUUAUUUCUAAAACAUUUUCUCUCUAAAACUUUUUCCAUUUCUCCUAAUAAUCUUACACAGGCACAACAGUGGAACUGUACUGCUGAACUUCUUACUAAUCCU
RNAcentral lists this long non-coding RNA (3933 nucleotides) under Solanum tuberosum (potato). RNAcentral's name for it is "long non-coding RNA (STUB_LNC011057)". Lineage: Eukaryota; Viridiplantae; Streptophyta; Magnoliopsida; Solanales; Solanaceae. The record is from RNAcentral.